AUGAAAUUUACCCUUAAGUUUAAUGGCUGAUGACAACACAAAAACUCCUUUAGUAUUANUUAAGUUUAAUGGUUGAUGACAACACAAAAACUCCCUUAGUAUUAUGUAAUGAUGUGCUUUUGGUAAGUUUUAAAAUUGUUGUCCACUGCAGACACUCCUUGGCACAUGUUAGUCGACUCUCGGACAAAUAUAGUUGAUCAGGCUAUAUUCUUCCCAGUUCCGAUUACAUGUCCCAAGGCGUACUUGCACUGCACAACUUAUUCAUAAUACUUCUAAAAUUACUCGAUAUGAAACUAUUAUUAGUAUGAAACGAGUGCAUGCCUACUUUAAAAACUAAUUAAAUUUAAUUUCAAAAGUAUGACUCUCCUCAGAGUGUUUUUGCCCAGUUGAGUUUAUAGUUGU
RNAcentral lists this long non-coding RNA (402 nucleotides) under Lactuca sativa (garden lettuce). RNAcentral describes it as "long non-coding RNA (LSAT_LNC002810)". The record is from RNAcentral. Lineage: Eukaryota; Viridiplantae; Streptophyta; Magnoliopsida; Asterales; Asteraceae.